Molecule: ribosomal RNA, 301 nt
Filed under: uncultured bacterium
Lineage: Bacteria
Description: partial 16S ribosomal RNA
Rfam family: Bacterial small subunit ribosomal RNA
Source: RNAcentral
CAGUCGCCGCGGGAAUACGUAGGGUGCGAGCGUUAAUCGGAAUUACUGGGCGUAAAGCGUACGCAGGCGGUUGUGCAAGACAGAUGUGAAAUCCCCGAGCUUAACUUGGGAACUGCAUUUGUGACUGCACGGCUAGAGUGUGUCAGAGGGGGGUAGAAUUCCACGUGUAGCAGUGAAAUGCGUAGAUAUGUGGAGGAAUACCGAUGGCGAAGGCAGCCCCCUGGGAUAACACUGACGCUCAUGCACGAAAGCGUGGGGAGCAAACAGAAUUAGAUACCCCAGUAGUCCCUGUCUCUUAUAC